UACAGAGGGGGCAAGCGUUGUUCGGAAUUACUGGGCGUAAAGCGUGCGCAGGCGGUUAUGCAAGACAGAUGUGAAAUCCCCGGGCUCAACCUGGGAACUGCAUUUGUGACUGCAUGGCUAGAGUACGGUAGAGGGGGAUGGAAUUCCGCGUGUAGCAGUGAAAUGCGUAGAUAUGCGGAGGAACACCGAUGGCGAAGGCAAUCCCCUGGACCUGUACUGACGCUCAUGCACGAAAGCGUGGGGAGCAAACAGG
RNAcentral lists this ribosomal RNA (253 nucleotides) under uncultured bacterium. RNAcentral describes it as "partial 16S ribosomal RNA". It matches the Rfam family "Bacterial small subunit ribosomal RNA", at positions 524 to 776 of the family's 1533-position model. The record is from RNAcentral.